This 497-nucleotide ribosomal RNA is filed under the name uncultured bacterium. RNAcentral's name for it is "partial 16S ribosomal RNA". It matches the Rfam family "Bacterial small subunit ribosomal RNA", at positions 28 to 507 of the family's 1533-position model. The record is from RNAcentral.
GAUGAACGCUGGCGGCGUGCCUAAUACAUGCAAGUCGAGCGAACGGACGAUAAGCUUGCUUCUCUGGUGUUAGCGGCUGACGGGUGAGUAACACGUGGAUAACCUACCUAUAAGACUGGGAUAACUUCGGGAAACCGGAGCUAAUACCGGAGGAUAUUUUGAACCGCAUGGUUCAAAAGUGAAAGACGGUCUUGCUGUCACUUAUAGAUGGAUCCGCGCUGCAUUAGCUAGUUGGUAAGGUAACGGCUUACCAAGGCAACGAUGCAUAGCCGACCUGAGAGGGUGAUCGGCCACACUGGAACUGAGACACGGUCCAGACUCCUACGGGAGGCAGCAGUAGGGAAUCUUCCGCAAUGGGCGCAAGCCUGACGGAGCAACGCCGCGUGAGUGAUGAAGGUCUUCGGAUCGUAAAACUCUGUUAUUAGGGAAGAACAUAUGUGUAAGUAACUGUGCACAUCUUGACGGUACCUAAUCAGAAAGCCACGGCUAACUACGUG